Molecule: unclassified non-coding RNA, 1101 nt
Filed under: Hevea brasiliensis (rubber tree)
Lineage: Eukaryota; Viridiplantae; Streptophyta; Magnoliopsida; Malpighiales; Euphorbiaceae
Source: RNAcentral
AAAAAAAUUAAAAAAAAAAAUAAAGGGCAAGAACUGAAAAUACUGAAAUUUAUAGCAAGAGACUCAGAUUCUCAUACAUCUGUGGAGAGAGCACAAACAUAGAAAUACAUAUAAUUAAGGUAAUAAUUCCCUCUAGGGGAACCCAAUUAAAUGGGCUCUCUAACACCCAUUUUUAUUUUAUUCUGCCAAUAUCAUUUAUUCUGACUUCUGAUCUCCACUCCAUGCAUGUCCUUCCUCCAACGUUUCACUUUACCCUGCAACACAGCAACCAUAAGCCAAAGAAUCAAUACAAGAAUUUAAUUUAAAUUGAAGGUUACGAGUUCGAGUGAUGAAAACAGUCUUUCUUUAAAGCUGACUGUGCAUCAACUCUCUCUAGAACUCACAAGUAUGAAAUAUUUCAUGCAUUGAGUCACUUUUUUAAUAGCGAAUACUUACUUGGAGCAGUCGAUGUUGGGGCUGAUAGUGAAGGGAAGGCUAACACCACAUUUGCCAGCAAGCCCAGAAGCCAAACUAUAGUUAAGACCAGGAACGUUAGCAGCAGAGCUUUUCAAGCACUUGCAAGCAUCUUGGCGAUCAGGAGUGGUCUUAGCCUCUGAAUUAAGGGCCUUAACUCCACUGCAGCAGUCUGAAGACAAAGUUCCAGUACCUCUCAGGUAGCUUAUACAUGGUGCUAACUUGGUAGUCACAUCCCCACAUGUAAUGGCUGCAUAGGCUAAGGGUUCACCCACUACCAGGCACAUAAGCAACACACAAGCCAACUUAGUAGCCAUUGAACAAGCCAUAAUUAAUGGCUAAUUGAGGAAAGAGCAAGUAUUGUACGAAGAAGUUUUCAAAAGGGAUUGGAUUUUUUUUGUAGAGAUAUUGAGAGAUGAAGCUGAGUGAGUCCUAAUGCUUAGAAGAAUGGUGUUUAUAUAGGCGAAUGGGUUACAUUUUUUCACCUAGCCUUUUUUGGGUUUUUAUUUAUCACCCCACCUUGAAUUUGAUGGAGAAUCAUGGAAAUGAUAGUUUUAAAUCAUAGCCGUCGGUGGCAUUGCAGCCAUUGUCCAUUGGGAUAAAGUGGCUGGCAAGAAAAAGUGGUUAUGAUGUGAGUGAGAGAAUAAU